This is a long non-coding RNA of Epinephelus moara (kelp grouper), 772 nucleotides long. RefSeq lists it as uncharacterized. The record is from RefSeq and is a predicted model, not a curated record. The transcript is spliced from 2 exons. NCBI's taxonomy places the organism in Eukaryota, Metazoa, Chordata, Actinopteri, Perciformes, Serranidae.
CAAACUAAGACCAAAGCAUGUGUCCUGUGACAGACAGUAAGGCUUUUUGUUUUUAGCCAAGAUGAUUUCUGGAAAACUUGAGGCUCCUACUGGCUGGUUAAGAGGAGUGAGGAGUCAGCAGUUAAUGACUGAAUCACUGUGACCACACAUGGUCCCUGAGGAUACAGUUAUACAUGUGUACGCAAAAUCUGAGGCUGAUUAGUCCAGUAGUUUGUGAGAUAAGCCACACACACUCACAGGCACACACACUCUCUCCCUCACUAACACACACAACCAAACGAAUGAUCCCCUCCAGGCUUAUGCCUGUUGAAGAUAAUGAGAAACAGAAACUUAGAGGGAGAGAGAGGAGAGGGGAGAAAGAGGCAAGUUGGGAGCGAGUGCAUUCAAUAAUUCGGUGUUCCAGCUGGAUUGCGGCCAUUUCGAGCCGGGACUCAGAAUGUGGAGGUUUGCUUAUAUACAAGAACAAAAAGCCUUUCCAACAUCAGCAGCUCACUCAGUGUGACGCCAUCUCCUCCUCUCAGCAUCUCAUUGUGCUGAUUCAUAGAGCGGAGUGACGGCAAACGCAACUCUGCCACACAUCAAAGACAGCAGAUGGCUUGCCAUCAUUUUCCCAACUGCCCAAGAACCAGAAGGUGUCUGAAUGAGACUGUGCUGUGAUUACCCUUCAGAGGAAAACCACGCGGGAUGACAGCAGGCCAGAGGAGAGGCAGAAGCGAGGCAGGAUUGGUUUGGAGCACUCAGAAAAACAGUGUAAAUAAACAUGUCAAUGUCA